GGGGGUAUAGCUCAUUUGGUAGAGCGCUUGAAUGGCAUUCAAGAGGCGAGUGGUUCGAAUCCGCUUAUCUCCACCA
Molecule: transfer RNA, 76 nt
Filed under: Candidatus Improbicoccus pseudotrichonymphae
Lineage: Bacteria; Bacillati; Bacillota; Clostridia
Description: tRNA-Ala
Rfam family: tRNA
About the family: Transfer RNA (tRNA) molecules are approximately 80 nucleotides in length. Their secondary structure includes four short double-helical elements and three loops (D, anti-codon, and T loops).
Source: RNAcentral